GACGAACGCUGGCGGCGUGCUUAACACAUGCAAGUCGAACGGUGAUCUUGAGAGCUAGCUCUUGGGUGAUCAGUGGCGAACGGGUGAGUAACACGUGAGUAGCCUGCCCCUGACUCUGGAAUAACUUCGGGAAACCGAAGCUAAUACCGGAUAUGACACAGAGCCGCAUGGUUUCUGUGUGGAAAGUUUUUCGGUUGGGGAUGGACUCGCGGCCUAUCAGCUUGUUGGUGAGGUAAUGGCUCACCAAGGCGACGACGGGUAGCCGGCCUGAGAGGGCGACCGGCCACACUGGGACUGAGACACGGCCCAGACUCCUACGGGAGGCAGCAGUGGGGAAUAUUGCACAAUGGGCGAAAGCCUGAUGCAGCGACGCCGCGUGAGGGAUGAAGGCCUUCGGGUUGUAAACCUCUUUCAGUAGGGAAGAAGCGCAAGUGACGGUACCUACAGAAGAAGCACCGGCUAACUACGUGCCAGCAGCCGCCGUAA
This 486-nucleotide ribosomal RNA is filed under the name uncultured bacterium. Its description in RNAcentral is "partial 16S ribosomal RNA". It matches the Rfam family "Bacterial small subunit ribosomal RNA", at positions 28 to 523 of the family's 1533-position model. The record is from RNAcentral.